RNAcentral lists this long non-coding RNA (23817 nucleotides) under Hordeum vulgare. RNAcentral describes it as "long non-coding RNA (HVUL_LNC014672)". The record is from RNAcentral. Lineage: Eukaryota; Viridiplantae; Streptophyta; Magnoliopsida; Poales; Poaceae.
ACGGUUUAGAAGGCACGCUUGAAAAAUCUCUAGGACCAAGGUAGUCACCUAUUGGUUGUGAGAUUUAGCAGGUGUAGAUGCUAAUGCGCCUAAUCAAUUGAAAAAAUACUAGUACUAAUGCGUGAGCAGCAAAUUGGGAGGGCGCAUGCAUGAGUAGUACUAGUACUAAUUAAUAUGAGUAAUUGUUUUCGCGUCUUAAACCUUGUCUAUUUUAGAAAUGCACCAAAUUUAACUGUGUCUUCUAAACCGUGACAGAGCGAGUAAUUUUACCCGACUAGAACUAUCUAUACAAAUGUUCAGGACAUCUUUAAUCUUUAUCCCUCCGCAUAUUUUCGGUAGGAUGGCAAGCUCGGUCUUAGGCUUCCUCCAAUGCAAAGGUGCUAAGUGAGGUGCUAAGAUUGAGUAUUAAAUAUAUUAAGUAACCAUAAUCUUCAAUACAUUGGUGCUUAAUUUGUUGUUGCUAAGGUUGCCUCGUUUAAUUGUUUAGCAACUAAAGUCUUGUAUGCAUAGGCUAGUUCCCUUCAUUUUUAAUGUUUUGCAUAGGUUUUCGUGACUAGCACCGUUUCCUCUUGAGGACACCAAACUUCUCUCUCUCUUCUUAAUUAGAUUGCCACAUAGGAUUUGUUUGCCUUGUUGACAUGCUUAGCACCUAUCUAAAGUGGAGCAUUGGGAGCAGCCUUAUGUAACAUCCUCUGUUGUGUACUAUUUGUUUGCGUUGGUUAGAGCAUCUAUAAACGGACUCCUUAAAUCCGUCUCAAACGUCCGGGUAGCCCGUUCAGUCACUGACCGGUCAUAAAAAAUCGAUCCAGCCGGACCCCUCAUAUCCAUUUCAAACACUCGGACUGACCAACACCUCUGAUAUCCAUUUUAAAUAUGAGAACGAUAAGAGGGCUCGUGGACGCGCCCAGGCAUGCCCGGUCAGUCCACCACGUAGGACACGAACCCACUCCGAGCUAUCUUUUUUUCUUUCUUUAUUCAUUAUUUCCUUUCCGUCUUCUUCUCCAUCAAUUACGUGCAAGUGACCGGACAUAUGAGAAAAAAUAUAAGAGGUACGUAAGAAUUCAAAACGGAUACGCCUAAUCAUUGACCGAUCGUGUCCGCGGGCGUUUGAUGGCAUGGAUUUGCAAGUUUCCACUGUGGAUGCACUUAGAGUCUCCCCAAAACACAUGUAUGCUGGAAUUGGAGAGAUGAGAAUGAGAUGACACCAGGUAUGAUGUCUUACCCAGCUUGGUCUUCGCAUUUCAGGGAAUGCGGUAAUCUAUCUAUUAUCUUAGUUGUACUAAAUGUCAUCUUUUCGUCAACUAUAUCAGUAACAAUACUAAACCUGCAGCGAUCCGAGUUUUCUCCUUUUUCUAAUUUUAUUUUUUUACUGCUCCUGCAGAGAAUUACGUGGAGUGCUGAGGUGUAAUCAAUUUUUUUACUGGUUCUGGAUGUUUCUCACCGCCUAUUUUUUUUUCCUGCAACAGCCAAUCCAAUCUCUUCGUCUCCAUCUCUUUCUCCCUCGAGGAGAGCGCCGUUGAACCGGCAGCCAUCUUGUUUUCUGGAUCCUAGCUCUUCCAUCUCCCGGGAAGUCACAUGGGGUUCCCUAAGCUGAGAUGCUGCUGGAGAUAUCCUUCGCAUGAUGCAAGUGAGCGCCUAGCGCCGCCUACUUGGCAGCCCGGCGGCGUGGAUUCUCGAUCAGCAGUCGGCGGUGGAUGAGCUCGCGACCGCCACCUCUCUCCUCCACCGUCUCCUCCUGGUACUCGCUCUCUCUCUUUUCCUCCCUCUCUCUCGCUCCCUCUAGACAUUUUUUUUUCCAUACGUGCAUGCUAUGCAUGUGUUCGACAUAAUGUCUCAAUGCCGGGAAUAUUCUGGGUAAGAAGAACAAGGGCAGCAUGCAUCGGAUAACUCAAUUGUAUGUUGAUGUUCGAACUAAGUAUGGCUUAUGGUUGCCCUUAUUGAUAUGAAUUCCCCCCUAGCACAUGUUUUAAAAGAUUGCGAUUUCAAGAAUUUGUUGACACUAAAGAAUCAUGGUAGUGUUUAGAAACUAAUAGAACAACAUAUAUGUAUUGCCAUGCUAAUUUUGUUUCCUAAUCACUUCAAUGUUCCUUGCUCCGGAUCACCAGCGGAGAAGGCAUCGCUGAAAUUUGCGCCGGGCGCACCUGCCAAACUACUUGUUGAAACAUUCCUUGUGAGUUGUAAUUUUUUUUCCUCCGAGUAUCAUUCUUAGAUGUUGUAACCUGUUGUUGACAUGAGACACACUAAUUGAAUCAUUCUGCGCUUGAUUUGUAUUCUAGAAUGAGUAACAUUCGAUCAAAUCUUUGGAGGAUGCCCUUGCAUAUGGUACUGACACUGUAGAUGUUAAUCAUGUUGCUCAUGUAGGAUUAGGAAAGAAAGCCAAACCGAGUCCUAAUAGUAUUAGGAUUCCUAGUCCUAGUCUAUUUCCAUAGUCCAUUGUGGACGUGUAUAAAAGACACCCUAGGGGUGUUGAUUGUAACACCAGAAAAACGAAAAGCAAUACAAAGCAAAGGCUCGACACGGGCCUUUAGCCAUCAAAUCCAUCGAUCAGUUUUAUUCGUGUCGCUAGUUACGCAAGUUUCGUCAAGUAGCCGGCCGAAGCAAGAAUCGCGUAGGCACGCCUGUACAGCUGCAUACGCACGUUCAAAAGCCAACAAUUGGUAUCUAGAGCCUCGACGAUCUACGAUCUACGAUGACGGACAGCGACGCUGAGUCGGUCAAGUCCGGCAGCGGCGGUGCCAAGGCGAAUAAGAACGGCGACAAGGUGAAGAAGGGCGUCAAGUCAGCAACCAGUGGUGGAGGAACGAGCGGCGCUAACGUCCAGGCGCAUCGCAACAUCCCCAUCCAGUACCCGAUGCUCACCGACGCCAACUACGGCGUGUGGGCGGUGAAGAUGAAGAUUAUUCUCCGAACCCUUCGAGUGUGGCAGGCAAUCACGGACGACGACGUCGAUGACGAGUCCGACGAAGGUGCCAUGGCCGCCAUAGCCCAGUCUGUGCCGGAUUCCGUGCUGAUGACAUUGGCGGAGUUCGAGACGGCAAGAGAGGCGUGGAACGCACUCAAGGAGAUGAGGAUCGGAGAAGAUCGCGUCACCAAGGCUCGGGCACAAGUGCUGAAGCGCCAAUUUCAUAAGUUGCAGAUGGAGGAAACUGAAUCGGUGAAUGACUACGCCAUGCGUCUUACUACUUUGGUGGGAGAGAUCCGCGCGCUUGGUCCAAAGCUCGAUGAGACCGAGAUCGUGGAGAAAUUUUUCAGUUCUGUCACUGAUAAAUUCACGUACAUCAUCGGCACGCUCGAGCAGCUUUACGACAUCGACGACAUGACCAUAACGGAGGCGAUUGGACGCCUGCGGACGUGGGAAGAGAAUGCUCGCGGCUGUCGAAAAGGCAACGGAGGAGGUAGUGACCAACUCAUGUACACGCGUACAGAUUGGGAGUCCCCAAGUAGCAAAGGAAGGCGUGAUGGCAACGAAGGCUCAAGCAACGCAACGCGCGGCGGACAAACCGGAGAAGGCAAAGGAAAAGGCCAACCACAAGGUCGUGGUAAGGCAGACCGAUCUAAAGGGCGGAAGCAACGGAACUUGGAUAUGUCCGAGGUCAAGUGCUAUAACUGCAACGAGAUGGGCCACUUUGCAAAGAAUUGUCCGGAGCCUGACAAGCGGGAGAUCAAGGCAAAUUUGGCAAAGGAGGAAGACGAAGGUCCAGGUCUUCUGAUGGCCGAAGUUUGUGAUCUCGCUGAAACAGUGGUUGUGAAACCAAGCCGGAAGGUGCUACUUCAUGAGAAGAAUGUGACACCUAAGUUAUCCGGGGAUCACAACGUGUCGUGGUAUCUCGACACGGGUGCCAGUAACCACAUGACGGGAUGCAAGGAGAAAUUUCUCGAGCUGGAAUAUGAUGUUGAAGGCUCGGUCAAGUUUGGUGAUGGUUCAAAUGUGGAGAUUUGUGGGCAAGGAUCUGUCCUCUUCGAGGGUCUCACAGGCGAACAUCGCAUACUCACCGGAGUGUACUACAUCCCACGGCUUCGCAACAACAUCAUCUCUAUCGGGAAACUUGACGAGAAUGGAUGCAAGGUGGAUAUCGAGAACGGAGUGAUGACGAUCUUCGACAACCUCCGAAACGUGCUAACUCGUGUUAGUCGCACACGGAACAGGCUCUAUAUCCUCAACCUUGAUCAAUCUCAACCGGAGUGUUGGCUCGCCAAGAGUGAUGAUGAUUCGUGGUUAUGGCAUGCUAGAUUUGGACACGUUAACUUCUACGCCUUGAAGAAGAUGUCAAAGAUGCAGAUGGUAUCCGGGAUGCCAGUUAUCGACCAUGUUGAUCGAGUAUGUGACGGGUGCUUGGUUGGAAAACAGCACCGCAUGCCAUUCCCUGCUCAGUCUACCUAUCGUGCAAGUGAUGCACUCGAGCUGCUCCAUGGUGAUCUAUGUGGCCCUAUCACCCCGGCAACUCACGCUGGAAAGAAGUAUUUCUUCCUUGUGGUAGACGACUACUCGAGAUAUAUGUGGGUCAUUCUCCUACGAUCUAAAGAUGAGGCGUUUAAAGCGUUCAAGAAAUUGAAGGCUGCAACAGAGAUGGAACACAAGCUGAAGGUUCGCGCUCUACGGACAGAUCGCGGCGGAGAGUUUACGUCGAAUGAGUUCAACGACUACUGCGAGAAGAUUGGCAUAAAGAGGUUCCUCACGGCACCUUACACGCCGCAGCAGAAUGGGGUCGUUGAAAGGCGCAAUCGAACCGUUGUUGACAUGGCAAGGAGUUUACUCAAGAGCAAGAACCUGCCAGGGACUUUUUGGGGAGAAGCUGUCUCGACGGCGGUCUAUCUUCUCAACCGGGCUCCAACGAAGGCGGUGAUCGGCAAGACUCUGUAUGAAGCAAUUUACGGACGUAAGCCGAAUGUGUCUCAUCUACGGACAUUCGGGUGCGUGGCACAUGUGAAGACGGCGGAGCCGCACCUCUCAAAGCUUGCCGAUCGUAGCACCAAGAUGGUGUUCAUCGGAUACGAGAGCAGUUCUGGCACCAAGGCAUACCGUUUCUACGAUCCACAAACCAAGCGUCUACAGAUUUCACGCGACGUCGUGUUUGAAGAAAACCAAGCGUGGAAUUGGAGCGCCGCAGCCGACGAUGCUCCAAACAGUAACAUAUUUGCAGUUGAAUUUCCAACUGAUGAUGAUGCAGGGGAGGAUGUCCAGGUGAUUGGCAAGACGCCCAACCAAGGUGACCACAACGGUAGUGAUCAUCAUGGUGCCGACACCGACGACGACGAGCAUAGGUCGCAAGGAGAUAGCGACAACGCCGCGCACGACACAGGCGGAGAUCUCGACGACAACAUCAACAACGAGGCGCAUAGUGACGACGACAAUCAAGAUGAUGGUCACGGUCACGACGACUACGCCGAUGACACGGAUGUCGAUGACACAUCAAGGUCUCAGCCGUCUUCCUCAAGUGCAUCAACGCCGACACAAUUUGUGUCGCCUCCUUCGCAAGCCACAACGGACUCCUCAGGGCCUCGUCGCUACAAGACCCUCAAGAAAGUCUACAAGUACACAAAGCCAGUUACGCUCGAGUACUCUGGACUAUGUCUGUUCGGAGUUGAGGAGCCAGCGAACUUCAUAGAGGCGAGCAAAAGUCCUAGCUGGACGCACGCCAUGGAUGAGGAGAUGAAGGCAAUUGAGAGCAAUGGCACGUGGACUUUGGUAACCCGACUCCAAACCAAAAGACGAUAGGUUUGAAGUGGGUUUACAAGUUAAAGAAGGACACGGAGGGUGCCAUUGUGAAGUACAAGGCAAGACUCGUUGCAAAGGGCUACGUUCAACGUCAAGGAGUUGACUAUGAUGAGGUGUUUGCACCGGUUGCUCGAAUCGAGACGGUGAGAGUGCUCCUAGCUUUGGCAGCACAAGAGGAUUGAAAGGUUCAUCAUAUGGAUGUUAAAUCCGCUUUCCUCAACGGCGAUCUCACAGAAGAAGUGUACGUGGAACAACCCCUCGGCUACGAGAAGAAAGGCGAAGAAGGGAAAGUUUACAAGCUCAAGAAGGCACUUUACGGGUUGAAGCAAGCGCCAAGAGCUUGGAACUCAAAGUUAGACCGAAGUCUGGUCUCGCUCGGGUUCAAGAGAUGUCCCCUCGAGCACGCAGUCUAUACAAAGAACUCCAAAGGCUCAAACCUGCUAGUUGGAGUUUAUGUCGACGAUCUGAUUAUCACCGGAGAUAGCGUACAAGAAAUUGAACGUUUCAAGGCGCAAAUGAAGAACAAGUUUAGCAUGAGUGAUCUGGGAUUACUCAGCUAUUACUUGGGCAUCAAGUGAAGCAAAGCUCCGGAGAGAUUUCCCUAUGUCAAUCGGCUUACGCGGUCAAGUUAUUGGACAAGUGUGGCAUGUCAGAUUGCUACGCGACACAAGUUCCAAUGGACCAACGUCACAAGUUGAGCAAGCGUAGCUCAAAUCCGCCGGUGGACACCACAAUGUAUCGAAGCGUUGUGGGUAGCCUAAGAUACUUGGUGCAUACUCGACCUGACUUGGCUUAUUCAGUCGGGAUCGUGAGUCGUUUCAUGGAGAAACCGACAACCGAGCACAUGAGCGCGGUCAAUCAAAUCUUGCGCUAUGUGAAAGGCACCAUUAAUCUUGGUUGCACGUACAGAAAGGGAAAGGAAGGAUUGAUCCUUCGUGGAUAUUCAGAUAGCGACAUGGCAGGUGAUGUUGAUGACCGAAAGAGCACAACGGGCAUGGUUUUCUACCUUGGCCCGAAUCCGAUUAGCUGGAAUUCUCAGAAGCAAAAGGUGGUGGCACUGUCUUCAUGCGAGGCAUAAUACAUAGCGGCAAGCACGACGGCUUGUCAAGCAGUGUGGCUGAGAAGACUCCUAGCUAUUCUUGCAAAGCGGGAGGUGCAGAAGGUGUCACUGAAGAUCGAUAACCAAGCUGCAAUCUCGUUGUGCAAAAAUCCGGUUCAUCACGAAAGGAGCAAGCACAUAGAUACCCGGUUCCACCAUAUCCGGGAGUGCAUUGAAGAAGGGUUGAUCGAGGUUCAACAUGUGAACACGAAAGACCAACUUGCCGAUAUUUUCACCAAGUCCCUCGGUCGACAGAAGUUCAUCGAGAUGAGGAGGAAAGUCGGAGUGCAAGAAGUGAAGUCAAGCAACAAGAUUAAGGAGGUGAAUGUAGAUGUUAAUCAUGUUGCUCAUGUAGGAUUAGGAAAGAAAGCCAAACCGAGUCCUAGUAGUAUUAGGAUUCCUAGUCCUAGUCUAUUUCCAUAGUCCAUUGUGGACGUGUAUAAAAGACACCCUAGGGGUGUUGAUUGUAACACCAGAAAAACGAAAAGCAAUACAAAGCAAAGGCUCGACACGGGCCUUUAGCCAUCAAAUCCAUCGAUCAGUUUUAUUCGUGUCGCUAGUUACGCAAGUUUCGUCAAGUAGCCGGCCGAAGCAAGAAUCGCGUAGGCACGCCUGUACAGCUGCAUACGCACGUUCAAAAGCCAACAGACACCUGACAUAGGUAUUUUACUUCCAUAUUUGCAUUUUUUAUCAGAUGAAUUUUACUUUGCUGCCUCGUAGAGUCUCAAUUAGAUUUGGGAAACAAGUCGAUUUUGAUCAGUCUAAUAAUUUGUGUUAUUUCUUAGCCAUCAUGGUACAGAAUGCAAUUUUGUUGUUGUAGAUGUUUCCAACAGAGAGGACAAAUACGUGAUUUCAUCUCUUCUAGAACUGCUAGACAUAUAUUUGUUAGGUUGGUAUCAAGAAUAAGUGGGAAAAAAGCUUCAAAGACAAGGUCUUAUUGAACAUGCUCUACUUACACUUGAACCAUGGCAUGUCAUGAGGUUUCAUUCCAAAUGCAGGGUUCAAUGUUAAAACUGUUGAGUACAAGAACAUGAACUUCACUGGGCCAUGACAAAGUAUGAGCUGCUACAAUGUUUUGUUUCAGUGCUCUUCUUCCCUUACCUCUACCCUACCCACAAAUUGUUCCUUCUCAUUUAGCUGAUACUUUGUGCUUGCAAGAACAGAUGAGACCGCUCAUGAGGUCCUAAAAUGAGAUUGAUCACUUACCAGAAAAGCAUAACAUUUUAACUUCACAUGCUUAAUGUGCCUUUAUUCUGUGGUAGUACAACCCAUACAAGCUAGAGCUAUAUUUUUGUGCUACUCAUGCACAUUUAUUCAUACAGAUUUUCCUGAACCUAAUAUUAAUUUUUGUGCCACUCAUAAGUACUAAUUCUUUACAAGUAUUGCUGAACUUAUUGAUAUUAAUUAUGUUGUUGUUGCUCCAAAGAGGGCUCCAAAGAGGCUUCUAGCAGCAGAUGUUAUUGGUCACCUUGAAGAAAGGGUAGUUUAAACUUUUUAUCUAAAUACUCAAAUUAUGUAGAACACUUAUCUGAAUUCUUAAUAAGUCCGUUAUUGGUUAUUAAUGUGAUGAUUCUGUGGUCCUUGGCGGUCCUUUGCUGAGUUUAUUUUGUUUUCCAACACAGUGAAGUCCUUUUGCAUGACAGGAAAAGUUGUGUGGACAAAGAGGUGAGAAAUAACAAGUAAUUGACUUGAUUAGUUAGAAACUUAGAGGUUGUAUUUUUCUUAUCAAUUUAGUUUUUGCGUGAAAUAUCCACUGGUUUCACGGUGAAAUAUCCAGUGGUUUCACAUGCCGUGAAACCUUUUACUUUGGCAGUACUAUUUUUCGGGGUUCACAAACAAAUCUGAAAACCUAUAAUUCCAGAUGAUUUCCGUUAAACUUACAUCCCAUAUAUUUGUAAGCUGCUUAUGUCAUGUAAGGUGGAAGUGGACUAGGCAAACAGAAAAUGUGAUUUGUUUGCUUCUCUUUUAUUCUUGGCUUCUUGCUCUGUGUAGUUUUAUAAAUACAUGGGUAUUUUCUGAAUUAAGCUGCAGUUCUAUAUAUACAUGGCUGUUUUUGUCGAAUUAGAUGGAUAGAUUGUUCUCUAUUAAGAAACUGUACCAAGUAGGACAUUAUAGGAUAUAUUUUGCACUGCAUAUUUUGUCCAAAGAUGAUAGUUCAAGCCUGCUUAUAUAAGAAUCAAACUAUAAACUAUAGAUUUAUCACAAAUUUUCGGAUUAUUUGUAUUUUCCCAUGCAGCCGGUUGUAUUUUCCCAUGCACUACCCUGUCAAACCCUAAGACAAAAGGAACAACCGUAUGAAUUAUAAUCAAGCCAACGACACGCACUCACAUGGGAAUUUUCACGGAUGCGGCGUGCGCCGCGCAUCUUCGGUGCUACUCUCUUCGUUUCUAAAUAUAGAUUUAACUAGAUGACUACAUACUAAGCAAAAUGGAUGAAUCUACACUCUAAAGUAUGUCUAUAUACAUCCGUAUGUAAUUCUUUAGUAGAAUCUCUAGAAAGUCUUAUAUUUAGGAACGAAGGGAGUAGUAUAUAGCUAAAAGGGCAUUCUUCUUCCAUUAGAAGAUGUGCUGAAACUAGUAUAAUAUCUUUAGAUAAAGGGCCUAUGCAGAGCAUGCAAUUAUUUUAUUAAUUAUUAAUUACUCACAAAGACUUUACAAAUUAAUACAUUACUAAGCUUAAAGUCAUCAUCUUGACAACACAUGCCGCUACCCCUAUCCCCUUGAUAAAGGGGUGCCGAAUGUCUGAGUCGAAUAACAAACAAAUAUUGCACCAAAAUCUAACAUUUAAAACGGGAUGCUCCAGCCAAGCCACAAUGACGGUAGUGAGUCACACACCGGUCUGACGCAUUCUCAAAGGCCGUUGCCGCCGUCUUCCAUCCAUCCAUCUUCGAUGCAGGUAUACCGACGCACCAGCCUUGCCAGGCCUACCGUCAACUCCAUCAACCUGGAUGUAUCCAUCCACACGUGCCCGUCACCGAAACUCCCCAGCGAGAUGCCAUCAGGAUCCUCCGUCGGCCUUGUCGUAGAUGUAACAUUGCUCCUCCUGUGGAGUCCUACAACUAGCACUUGCUUCAAAAGGAUGCUUCUCCGAGGGAGAAUGACACCGAAGGCGUCGUCAUCGUCCAAUCUGCUAGAGCCUGAUCUAGGAUUUCCAUCGGGACAUCCCGAUAGAGUUGACGUGACCUGCAACAACGAUGCCUUGAGAACAAAACGAUGCCAGAGACGGUGUCAUCGUCCGCCUAGACCGCAAUGAGGCACGGUUUUCACCGGAAGCCGCGUCAUCCCGAUCUAACGGCUGGCUAGAACCGCACGGAGCUUCGCCAUGAAGACGUAUGCCGCCGUGGAUACUCCAACGGAGAUCCACCAUCCCCUCACCGGAGCCUCAACAUGUCAUCGAUCAUCCACGUGAUGAAUCGAUGACAUAUUUGGGUGGGAUCUAGAUCCACAGCCGCAGACAUGCCCACCAUCCCUAUCAGCACCAGCCGUGGUGCCGUCAGUUACGCCGCACGACCAGGGAGCCGCCCUGGCCACGGUGCGACGCCCCCAGCCUGAGGUUCCCCAGCCGCCUCAAGUGGUUGUCGUCUCCUCCUGUUUCCUCAGUGCCUUGGCACCGGGUGCUGUCACCAUCGCGGCCAACGCCAGCAGCAAUGGCGACAAGAUCUUUCACUGCGGGGUGGGGGGCGGCCCUGGGAUCUGAUCCCGCUGGCGCCGCCCUAGGGUGGCAGCGCUGAGUGGGUCGAGAGGGGUUGGGCACAAACCUUAACUAAAGCCACAUGGGAAGCGUAGAAACUAGCCAUUUUUUAUAAAGGACAUUUCAUUGAAUUUAUUUAUCAAGGUGAUACAACCGCAUCCAAAGAAUGUCCGGUCUCUGCAUAACAUAUGAUGCACACGGCGAACAAGUUCAAACGACCAAAAAUAAACAUUGUUUUGCAGCAAAAAUAAAUUAAUCCAGUUUAGGAUGGGGCAGAUUCUAUAGCGAUAAAUCGAUCCAGCCUAGGGUGGUGCAGAAACUAGCCAUGGAGGAUGAUUUCUUCUUCCAGGGCAUCGAUGAGGCUUUGAAGGCUUCGUUGGAGGAUCAACUAUCACUGAGCAGAAGCCCCGCGACAGGCUGGAGUGAGUUACACAUUAUUCUACACGGGGUGCCAUCACCAUCAAGACGCCACCGUCCUGAAACCCUAGCCUUACUACGAGACGAGCACGAAGCUACGUGGGGAAUCCACAUAAGCCACUCUGCUCAGUACAUUGCGCUCAUCGCCAGACACAGCUCACUCAUUUGUGGAUUUUUAGUUUUGUUGGUUAACCGAUAAAGUUGUUUGGUUUCAUAGUUUUAAUUAGUUGUCAGCUACUCCCUCCGUUCCUAAAUAUAAGACCUUUUAGAGAUUACAUUAUGGACAAUAUACGGAUGUAUAUAGAAAAAUUUUAGAGUAUAGAUUCACUCAUUUUGCUUCGUAUGUAGUUUAUAGUGUUAUCUCUAGAAAGUCUUAUAUUUAGAAACGGAGGGAGUAGUUAAUUUGCCUUGGAAGCUUGAGCUGAUAUGGAAAAGUUGGCUACCGUCUAUGGCUGAGCAGUUUCUCUAUUAAUGUACCGUAUAAUAUAGAGUAGCAGAUGAUGACAAUAGUUCUGCUAAGUGACGUGGCGAACUAAAUUGAGCAACACAUGAAACAUGCUAAUGUUAGAUGAUUAAAAGUUGAGCACCAUACUAAUGCUAGCCUGGCUAAGUACUACCUUCGUCUUAAAAUAUAUACUCCCUCUGUCCCAAAAUAACUGUCUCAACUUUGUACUAGCUCUAGUAUAAAUUUGUACUAAGCUCAAGACACUUAUUUUGGGACGGAGGGAGUAUAAGACAUUUUUACGGGCUAAACUAAUAUAAGACGUUUUUGUAGGCUAGUUUAGCCUAAACAUCUUAUAUUUUGAAAUGGAGGUCUAAAUUUUUUGUUUGGAAAGGCGCCUAUCCAAGUAUUUCCACUCUUUUUUUAGUCAAAAUGACAGCUCAGAUCUAGUCUGCAGGAAAAACGUGCAUCUUGUCAAAUAUGCAACUAUAAGAUAUUAAGUCUGCCUACUUAAUUAAUGUGGAGACGUAUAGCAUAGUUAAGAAUCAGCCAAACAUACUUCACCACAAAAUUGAUUUGUUAUAGAUUUCUCAAGGAAACCACAUGGAUUACUAGACUAGUGUGGAGGUAGGAGUAUAACAUACACUAGUAGAAAACACGGCUUUGGUUCGGGCCUGGCCAGCCCAUUAGUCCCGGUUCUUCAUGAACCGGGACCCAUGGGGGGCAUUAGUCCCGGUUCAUGAGCCCUGGGGGCCGGCCUGGGCCUCGUGGGCAUUGGUCCCGGUUCGUGUGGACCCAUUUGUCUCGGUUCUAGGCACGAACCGGGACCAAUGGGCCGCGCUCCUGGCCCACAUCCAUUGGUACCGGUUCAUGCCUUGAACCGGUUUAGAAGGGGGGCUUUAGCCCCGGUUUAUGCCACGAACCGGGACAAAUAAUUUGCCUAUAUGUACCCAUCGCCGCGGCAGAGCACUCUGUUUUUUUUAUGGCCGGCGAGGGGAGGGCAUUUGGGUGCUCUAGCUUACCUCCUAUGCACAUGUGGUGUUCGAUGAAAUGCCCGAGCCACACUAGUUAAGCUAUCUCCUCUCGAAGCUCAACCUCGGAGCUCCAUUUUUUCCGAGAUUUAGCGGUCCGUCACGCCCCGUCCCCGUUUUCACCGCUGGGGCACGUCCAUGUGUACGUCCGCAAUGUCGUCUGCAAGCUCCUCCGCAGAUAGUGAGGUAAGUCGAUUUGGAUUUUCGGUUGACAUUGGAUUUGGGGAUUUCUCAUCUAGGGUUUCACGGGAUGGGCCGUAAUAUGCGCCUUUCUGGCUCGUAGGUGGAUGGCUGCGGGAUUGUGCAGUUCCAAUCCGAAUUUUUCAUUCCCAAUCCAAGUUUCUACGGCCUUGAGGAGCGCUCGAAUCACCGUUGCCCGGGGCAUGGGCUAAUUCCUGCUCGCCGUGUUUCUUGGGGUGGAGCAAGCACGGGAAGAAGGUUUUUGGGUUGACCAAUCCAUGUAAUUCCUUAAAACAUCAUUUUGUCCUCUGUUUUCAUCGAUUUAUUGCAAAGUUAUGAAUUUCACCUAAUUAUGUGAACUCUGAUUUAACAGCUUCAUGAUGAGUGUGAUUGGGUUGUUUGGAUUGACCCCCCUCCCACUGAGCUAGUGGGGCAAGCUUUUGAGGAGCUUCAUGGUGGCCUUGAACGUAGUUGGAUCAAAGCUAGUAGGAUGGAGAAGAAGGUUAUGGAUCUGAACAAUGAAAACAAGAAAAUGCAAUUGAAGUUGCAGAAAAGGAAUGAGCUCAUGGAAACAAUGGGUUUUCUCUUUGUUCUUGGCAUCAUCAUUGUGGCUAGUUUAGUUUCUAUUUUAUCUAAGCAAACCAAUUAAGUGGUAGUGUGUGUGUUAUGUUUCUGCUAGUGUGUUGUGCCCUAGAUGUAAUUCUAUCAUUUGUGCACUAUUGUGAACUUGAACAAAUGUAAUGUUGUGCCCUAGAUGUAAUGGAUAUCAUGUGUUAUGUUAAAAUUGUCACCACUGCCAACUUCGAACCUUUUCAGAGUUCAUUUCAAAUGCUUUUAAAUUUUAAGGUCUUAUAGCUCAAAAUAAUCAGUAAAUGCAUGAAAAAUAACAAAUGAAGUCAGAAAGGAUUGUAAAUUGAUGAUGUGGCUUUGGAUGGUGCAUUUUGAACACAAAAAAACUAUGGAGUUCAAAUAAGUUCAAAAAAAUGAAAUCCCUUUGUAACAGACGAGUUUCCAUAUGAAACCCUCAUACUUCGAAAGAGAUUGUCCGUUUUGUACACAAGUGCAUCCAGUUUUUGCCGUAACCCUCUCAACUUUCUCGCACAUGCUAUGUGGGUGAAAUGAUGAUACCAUCCCAACUUGGAACCUUUUCAGAGUUCAUUUCAAAUGCUUUUCAAUUUCAUGGUCUUAUAGCUCAAAAUAAUCAGUAAAUGCAUGAAAAAUAACAAAUAAAGUCAGAAAGGGUUGUAAACUGAUGAUGUAGCUUUGAAUGGUGCAUUUUGAACAUAGAAAAACUAUGGAGUUCAAAUAAGUUCAAAAAAAUGAAAUCCCUUUGUAAGAGACGAGUUUCCGUAUGAAACCCUGAUACUUCGAAAGAGAUUGUCCGUUUUGUACACGAAGUGCAUCCAGUUUUUGCCGUAACCCUCUCAACUUUCUCGCACAUGCUAUGUGGGUGAAAUGAUGAUACCGUGCCAACUUGGAACCUUUUUGUUGGGGAACGUCGGCAUGGGAAACAAAAAAUUUAGGUGAAAUGAUGAUACCAUGCCAACUUGGAAUCUUUUCAGAAUUCAUUUCAAAUGCUUUUCAAUUUCAUGGUCUUAUAGCUCAAAAUAAUCAGUAAAUGCAUGAAAAAUAACAAAUGAAGUUAGAAAGGGUUGUAAAUUGAUGAUGUGGCUUUGAAUGGUGCAUUUUGAACACAGAAAAACUAUGGAGUUCAAAAAAAAUGAAAUCCCUUUGUAAGAGACGAGUUUCCGUAUGAAACCCUGAUACUUCAAAGAGAUUGUCCGUUUUGUACACGAAGUGCAUCCAGUUUUUGUCGUAACCCUCUCAACUUUCUUGCAUAUGCUAUGUGGAUGAAAUGAUGAUACCAUGCCAAAAUAAAAAGAUAGGCGCAAUGCUCACUUGCACGUUCCUUAGCUUCAGGCCAACGUGCAGGUGAGCACUGUGCUUCUCUCUUCAUCGUCUCUACACUCAGGGCUUAUAAACCGCUGCGAGUGCCUCUCGCUUGGCGAGGUGGGACUAAAGAACAGCUGCAGAAAGAAUCAACUAAAAAACUCUUUUACCGGUUCAUGCCACGAACCGGUACUAAAAGGUGCUCGUGGGGCCCCAGCCUUAAAACCUGUACCAAAUAAAAUGCCUUUGUAACGGCCUUAGAACUGGUACUAAAGGAUUCAACUAAAAAGCUUUUAUAAACCUCUACUAUUAUUGAAACUAAAAUUAUAUAGAAUUUUGUUACAAACUUUAAUAGAAAAAAGAAAUAUCAUAAAAGAAAAUAAAUAAGUAAUUAGAAUUUUGUUCAAAACUUUAAUAGCAAAAAGAAUUAUCAUAAAAUAAAAUAAAAAAAGUAAUUAGAAUUUUAUUCAAAACAUUANNNNNNNNNNNNNNNNNNNNNNNNNNNNNNNNNNNNNNNNNNNNNNNNNNNNNNNNNNNNNNNNNNNNNNNNNNNNNNNNNNNNNNNNNNNNNNNNNNNNNNNNNNNNNNNNNNNNNNNNNNNNNNNNNNNNNNNNNNNNNNNNNNNNNNNNNNNNNNNNNNNNNNNNNNNNNNNNNNNNNNNNNNNNNNNNNNNNNNNNNNNNNNNNNNNNNNNNNNNNNNNNNNNNNNNNNNNNNNNNNNNNNNNNNNNNNNNNNNNNNNNNNNNNNNNNNNNNNNNNNNNNNNNNNNNNNNNNNNNNNNNNNNNNNNNNNNNNNNNNNNNNNNNNNNNNNNNNNNNNNNNNNNNNNNNNNNNNNNNNNNNNNNNNNNNNNNNNNNNNNNNNNNNNNNNNNNNNNNNNNNNNNNNNNNNNNNNNNNNNNNNNNNNNNNNNNNNNNNNNNNNNNNNNNNNNNNNNNNNNNNNNNNNNNNNNNNNNNNNNNNNNNNNNNNNNNNNNNNNNNNNNNNNNNNNNNNNNNNNNNNNNNNNNNNNNNNNNNNNNNNNNNNNNNNNNNNNNNNNNNNNNNNNNNNNNNNNNNNNNNNNNNNNNNNNNNNNNNNNNNNNNNNNNNNNNNNNNNNNNNNNNNNNNNNNNNNNNNNNNNNNNNNNNNNNNNNNNNNNNNNNNNNNNNNNNNNNNNNNNNNNNNNNNNNNNNNNNNNNNNNNNNNNNNNNNNNNNNNNNNNNNNNNNNNNNNNNNNNNNNNNNNNNNNNNNNNNNNNNNNNNNNNNNNNNNNNNNNNNNNNNNNNNNNNNNNNNNNNNNNNNNNNNNNNNNNNUCCUGCUGAUUUGUUUGUUCAUAGUAUUUUCUUUGUCAAUUUAUGUGUAUGUUCAUAUUGUGUAUGUAUAGGAAAAUUGUGCAUGAUCAAAGUUAUUUAUGAAUAUGUUCAUAUUUAGAAUAGAGGAAAAAGGAAAAAAAUAAGAAGAGAAAGUGUUUAAUAUAAUUAGUUAGAAAAAUAAUAGAGUUAUAGUUAAACUAGUUUAUUUUUAGUAAGUACUACUUUAUUUUAUUUAUAGUAAGUGCUUCAUAUAUAGUUGAACUAGCUAGUUAAUUUAAUAAACUACUUUAUUUUACUAUAUAUAGAAGUAGUUUGUUUUUAGUAAGUACUACUUUAUUUAUUUAUAGUAAGUGCUUAGUAGUUGAACUAGUUGAUUUAAUAAAACUACUCUAUUUUACUAUAUAUAGAAGUAGUUUAUUGUUAGCAACAAAAUUAAUAGAACUAGUUUAUUUUAACUAUAUAUAGAAGUAGUUCCCGCAUCGACGUCGACUUGUUGUUAUAUAUAAUCGUGACACACUUUAUUUACCUAUGUAUGAUGAUGAUUAAUUAGUAGGACUUGUUGUUAUAUAUGAUGAUGCAUGAUGCGAGCAUGAAGAGUUAUUAUAUAUAGAUGUUUAAUUUUUUUGAUAUAUAUAGUGUGUCACGAUUAUAUUGUUGUUUACACACAUUUACCACAUUAAAACAGGAAAUGUCUCACGAUGGAUAUUGCGAGUGUGAAUAUUGCGGCGACUCUCGGGGUAUGUGUGACAUGCCUCACCUUCGAGAUGAUAGGUUCUUCAGCAUGAAGAUUGACGAGAACGGCGAUAUGUACCUCCCUUGCCAUGCAAGAAGAUAUGUGUUGGACAGGCUCGGUUUCGAAGACCACAAGAAAAUUGAGACGAGGAGCGCUAAGCUGAGGACUAUACAUGGUCACACAUUUGUUAUCCAAGUAUUUAAUUCAGUUUUUCAAACAAAAUUUGGGUGCCCAAAGUGGGAAGAUCUUUGCAAGGCAUAUGGAUUUCAGAAGGGAAUGGAAAUCAUCUUCGAUCUUCGUCCUGAAGAUAAUAUGCCAGAAAACAUUGAUAUUUGGGUGGUUGUCGAUGAUAUGCUUUCUGUUUUACCUCCAUGUGAGUUUCUCAACCAUAUUUGUCAAGUAAUUUGCAUUUAUAUUUAUAAAUAGUUGGUGUAGUCAACCUGUUUUUCCUCUCGCAAUUUACAUGUCUUGUGGUGUUCAUCGUCUAUUAAAACUUUGGCCACACGUUGCAGGUUUCUAGUUAUUGGGCCAUAGUUAUAAUUAUAUCAUGUUACAUGUUGUACAAACAACAUCAACAACCCAAAUUGUCCUUUGAAUGAUCGUAGCACAUGUGGUCGUUUUGAAUGGUUUAUAUAAUGCCCACAUCUUGUGGACAAUUACAAAAUUUUUAAGUAUUUUUGAAACAUUAAAUUAUUACAAAAUUUGGGUGGUUGUCGAUGAUAUGCUUCCUGUUUUACCUCCAUGUGAAGUAAUUUGCAUUUAUAUUUAGAAAUAGUUGGUGUUCAUCUAUAUACUAAAUUUGUUAAAUUAUAAUUUACAGCUUAUUUCGUUGCUUCGACUGAAUUAUGAAAACUAAUUGACACGACACACUACACGUAUGGAUCACAUCUAACUUGGGAGGAGAAGGAUGAUCUUCUCCACUUUCUUGUUGCUGGUGUUCUGGCUUCUAGGGAUACCCUCCCGUAUCAUUUUGGAAUUGGCAAAAGUUAUUCAUUUUACAUGCCACUAGUGCAUAGGUUGAGUCCAGAUGACAUUCGCCGAAAUGUCUUGGUAAGAGUUUCCUAAUUAAGGACGCUCCACUAUUGCAUAAAUGGUGUUGAUUACAUUGCUAACUAGGUUAUUAUUAUGUUCUUCAACAGCAACUGCCACAUGAUGUAGUGCCUCCGUUAAUGGACCCAGAAGGUCAAAUGAGAAUUAGAAGCCCGCUGAGGGCUGAGUUCUAUGCUCCAUACUUGAUUAACUUCAAAUCAAGAUAAAAAAGACUCCAAAUUAAAGCAUGGAGAGAAAUAAAGAAGGUUCGCAAGCCACAAGCUGGAGACCGUUGGAUCUAUGUGAUUCAUCAUGGAGCUAUAGGUGUUAUUCUGUUUUAUGACAUUAUAUCUAAGAGCGAGGACUAGGCCUUAUGAGAGACAAGUUAUUCUAGUUUAUAUUAUUACUUGACAUGAUCGAUUAAUUAGGAUGCAUGAUGCAUAUGAUGACUAUAUAAAUAUUAUGAUGUUUCUCUGUUUUAUUUUAUGUGUAUCAUAUGAUAAGUUGGUAUAUGAUUAAGUUGAUGAUGAGUUGUUAGAUGAUCGAUUAAAAUACUAUUGCCAUUCGACGAAAAUGAUAUGAAAUGAUAUAGUGUAAAAAAGAUGCAUAUAUGUGCAUGUAACUCGUGUCUACAUUUUGUAAAUAUGUUCGACAAAGCACGACGGAUGACCAAGCACGGAGAUAUAUAAGAGAGGACACUUUUCUUUAUUAAUUAGCUAAUAACAACCUAAAUUAACCCUUAAACCAGCCCCUUUAAAAAAACCUCAGCUCCAGCCAGGUGCUGACGCGUGUAUACCUUUUGGUCCCGAUUGGUGUCAUCAACCGGGACUAAAGGCCCCCCCGCCUGGCCUGGCCUGGCCGCAGCGGCCACGUGGAGGCCCAUCUGUCCCGGUUUGUGUAAAAACCAGGACUAAAGACAAAGGGCAUUAGUAACGACCUUUUUGUCCCGGUUCCGAAACCGAGACAGAAGGUCCUUAUGAACCGGGACAAAAGGUCUUUUUUCUACUGGUGAUAUGAUCUUAAGUCUAAAACUUAAUGGAAUAAAAGACCAAAACAAUUGAUUCCGUGAUACCUCAUACCUACCAUGGUGUAUAGAAUCAGAAUGAUUCAUUGAACAUGACACGUGCUCCUAAGAAAUGAUGAAAAUAAUUGAUUCCGUGAUACCUACCAUGGUGUAUAGAAUCGUAAUGCUUCAUGAACAUGACACGUGCUCCUAAGAAAUCAUUUAAUUAAUGAAUCAUGGAAGAUAAUCACAACCGAGAAAUCUCUCACUGGAUCACAAUGGAUAAACGGGAAAAGUCGAGGGUUUUUGUUUCAAGGGUUAAUCGAGAUUCCAAGUAUAUAUUUUUUAGCAUAUAGCGACUCGGAGGAAACCCUAGCAUCGCCGCCGCCGCGUUUUUCCCCUCUCUCCCUCUCCUCCGCCGCUGCCAGAGGGAGCCACGGCACUGGCUUGUGGCCUUGAUGAAGAUGGCGGCGGGGACCCUGCGUCUGAAAGGCGGCGGUUCCCGGGGCGGAGGGAAUCUUGCGCCUGACGGAGGCGGCGGUUCCCGGAACGGCAGCUUUGUUCCAGGGGCGGCGGCUACCGGUGGCGGCGGAGUCUCAGGCCUGGACGACGGCCCACGGGAUGGCGGUGGCUUCGGUCGGCGGCUCCUGGUGGCGGCGGGGUUCCAGAGCCUGGACGGCGGCGUCCGGGGUGGCGGCGGCUUCGGCUCCCGGGGCCGGGUCGCCUAGUAAUCCAGCUUGAUCCACCGCGCUAGCCUGAUUUCGGGUGCCUUCUCCUGAUGCUUGCUGGCCGGAUCUAAUCCGGUCUUGGCGGUGUCGACGGCGACGGCUUACCUGGGACCAUGGUGGUGGCGGCGUCCCCUCCGUUGGGGAUGACGGGUCUGAUGGUGGGGAGACAUGGUUGCCGGUGAAAACCGUGCCGACGGCGAACGAUGGCGGCUUUCUGAGCCGUUACCUUGAUGAAGGCUCCGUUAUGUAACUACUGUUGAUCCACUCGUCCUGCUCCGGAGGAAACCCUAGGAUCUGGUUUUCCAGAUCGGACGAUGACGACAUUGCGGUGUCGUUCCUCUCUAGGGAGCAUCGUUUCUGGAGCAGUGCUGGAAGACGGUGGCAGGAGGUGGAGCGUCUUCGUCCUGCACGGAGCUUCAGUGGUGAUGUCAGGUCAUGCCUGGCCGACAGGUGUUGCGCUUUGUCAUGCCUGGUCGGCAGGUGCUACUCACGACAGUUCUUACUGAGCCUUCACGUUUGGAUGGACGAGCGCGGGGAGGUGGUGUCGUUGAGCGCCGUGGUGGCGUCGACGGAUGGCUGGACUGACAAGGAUUAUGCAGAUCUCUCUCCUGAAGAUGGUUCAACAGUUCGAGGAUGAUGACAGCUUCUAAAACGUGUGCAUGUGGUGUACGCUUUAGGUCUGCUGCACCGGCUGUGAGUUUUGAUACAUUAUGUGGAUGGACCGAAGACGACACCGGAUUUAGAUAUGGGAAGUGAGAGCACUCUACAUUAUCACGGUAUGUAGGUGUGAGAGAGGGCUUUGGAUGGUUUAAUGUAUGUACUUGUGAGACCUUUGUUGAAUAAGUAAUAAAGAUAGCUGCAUGCAUCACUCGAUGCAGAGGCCGGGGUCAGCCUUUUUUUUAAAAAAAAAAUAGUCUCUCCCGCAAAACCAGUACACAACAAAAGCUAGAAGUUAAUCGAGGUAGAAAUGAUGCCACCACAACACAGAGACAGAUCCACUAGGCCGCUAUCACAUCCUCAAUCAACUCGAAUACUAAGUGAAGUAAUCUUGUACUUAUUUUACGCAUAGUUAAGCUUUCCAAAUCUCUUUGUAGAUGGUCGCAGACGUGAAUCUGGGAAUGUUAUUCGUCUGCCAACUUGGAAUAGUCACCAUCACCAAGCUGGAUAACUUGAUCUAGUAGGCCUGACAACAUGGCAACAAAACAAGGCAUGAUCUAGGAUGCCCAACCUAUGGAAGAGAUAGCCGGUAGCCCUAAGCCAACUCAGUCAACCCUCUAAGUAUACACUACAUCAAUGUAUUUACAAAUUUUUGGAUUGGAUACUUCUAUUAUAUUUUUUUAUUGGAUACUAUCAUAUGUGUGAAUUUUUAUUGCUAUUUUUUUCGCAAUAUAUGACUUUCUGGAUUUUAUAAAUAUUCCAUCAUAUAAAUUAAUGGCCAAUAGAUCAGUGUGGACCAUGUUAAUACUCCCUCCGUCACGGUUUAGAAGGCACGCUUGAAAAAUUUCUGGACCAAGGUAGCCACCGAUUGAUUGUGAGAUGUAGCAGGUGUAGGUGCAUUAGCACCUAAUCAACUGAGAAAAUACUAGUACUAAUACGUGAGGAGCAAAUUAGGAAGGCGCAUGCAUGAGUAAUACUAGUACUAAUUAAUAGAAGUAAUUGCUUUCGCGCCUUAAACCUUGUCUAUAACUGUGUCUUCUAAACCGUGACGGAGGGAGUUUUAAAAAUGGCAACAAUUAAGAGUACUAGAAAGAGUAAACUCUCCGUGCCUAAUUAAUUCCACAUCAAGUCUCUGGAAAUAGGCUUUUACCCCGCUUUAUUUACAAAGUAACGACCGAACAAGGUACACUGAUCAACCAUGCAAGAUGGCAUGGUAGCCGUCACCAAGUCCUAUAAUCCGUCAUCAUGGAUCUUUCAUUGUUCCUAGUUCCUCUCAUUCCUACUAUUUCUUAUAUCCCAUUAGAUCGUCUCUCACCUCCUUAAGUCCUUAUAUUUGUAUGUGAUUCUAGGAACAUGUAACUGUGGAGUAAGACAAUAGAGCAGGGCUUGUUAUCUAUGCAGACGAAGAUGUGUUACUAUAUAUAGUGCAAAUUCAAGACUGUAUGUGAGACUCAUACGGUGUAAAUACAAGCACAAAGAUUUGAACCCUGGUGGGUGAGUCAUGCCGUCACUACUCCACCACAAUGACAAGUGGUGGCUCUCAAGAUACUAUCAUAUAUAGUGGAUAAAAGGUAACUUAUUUUGUCCUUCCUACCACAUGUUAUGGAUGAUAAUGGAUGGGUUGCUGCUGGCUGACUGAAACAACUUUCCGUUUUCCUAUUCAAAGUUUCGACAAGAGAUAGUAGCACAUCACAAGUCGUAAAAUGGAUAGCUAGGGGAUAAGAAGGAGGAGAGACAUGACAUUUACAUUGUUGAUGGCCACGGUGAAGUGCACCGUCAUUAAUAAUAUGUCAUGCAUACGAAUCAUGGUGAAUGAUAAAUCUACGUGGACAUGUCUGUGGGCAUGCCAUCUACACAAGUUUGAAUUUCUACGGGAAAACUCACCUUAGAUCACAAGCAAUAUAAUACUCUCUGUAAUCUAUAAGCACGUGUUUGAGAAACUCACAUAAGCUCUAUACAGAACCCGGGACCAAAGAAAGGUCAUGCGCUACAAUUUGGACCAUCUAUAUGCACGUCUAUCACUUGCUCAUCAAUGCCACCAACAAUAAGCAACAAUAAAUGUAUGAAAAGUUCGAAAAUGGAAUGCUAUAAAUACACUUUUUCCAAGUUUUAAGAAGUGAAUUUUUUAAACCGGAGCUCUUAGGGAUCUAUUUUUUAAACCAUUGUACCCGUCUUUUUUUCCGCUUCUUCUCUAAUGCAAUGAUACGCAUGUUUAUACGUAUUUUAGAAGCAAAAAAAUUCCAAAUUCACUCCGUACAAUACAUAUUUGCAGGCAGUGGCGGAGGAUGGACUAAACUUGAGGCAGGGCACACGGGCUUUGGCCACUCACCACCGGCAACGUUGCCGCGUCAAUGCGUCGCCUUGCACCCUGCCUGCACCGGACCAAUCAAGAUAGGGCGGCCGCCGAUCCUUGUCCUUCUGGUCCUCCUCCACUGGAUGCAUGAGAGGACAUUAACCGGCUGAGUGUGAUGUUACGCACUAGUUAUAAAUUAAUACAAUCGGUUGAGAGACCAACCAGAAAGCGUGAGUUAGGGACAAAGUGAAUUGGCGUGAUGCAUCUAAUGGCUCCGUAAAAAAAUAUAAGAGCGUUCAGAUCACUAAAGUAACUGCUAAUCUAAUACCAAUGAAAUGGAAAAAUGCUACCCGUGGUAGAAGUACUGCUAACUUAAUAAGCAUGUACACCUAGGGGUUUAUUGGACGAGGAUCCCAAAUAGAAAGCUGAACUUCUAUGCAUGUGCUCUGAAUCUUAACAGGGUCACACAUGGCUACUAUCCAUUACGAGCUCCAUGUGAUUUACUUCCUUAUUUCAUGGCGCUUAGAUCUGAUGUAUUAUGAUGUAGGAGUAAAUCAUGAAGAGAUGCAGUAGAGUAACCUGUCUUUCCAUGCACACACUCUGAAUGCGGUUAAUCACACUGGGGUAUCUUGUAGUCAACAGACUGCUCUGUGUCAAGCUCAAGCAGUAUUGUUUUAUCACUGACCUCUCAAAAGACAAAUUUGUGGGGUGCUACACACAAGUUUGUGAUGUCAAAAGACAUCUAGGUUUGCCAAGGGCUCUUGAAUUAUUAUUUUUGAAUGUUGAUACAAAUUCUUACAUCUUUAAGUCAUUGCGAAGCAUUCACAUCACAACACAGAGUCCUAGCACUGCCACCGGACUCUACCAUCUGACUGUCACUAGUCUGGAUGUCUUCCAUUAUAGGGUACCUCAUUUUAUAGGCAUUUGGUUCUUCACUUACUGAUUUCUUCAUAUCAUCAUUAUGUAAUUGAUGUACUAAUAAGCUAAUGCUACCGAAAUGUUAAAGUUGAGUAGAGUGUUUCUCAGGUGGUAGUGUUGAGGUACACCCUGAUCAAACCACUUCACUGAGAUUUGGAACACCAUGGUUGCAACUGUAGUUCCUUAUUUGUUUUGUAUUACCCACUAUGACUCUUUCUAUGCCUUUUUUUCUAGUCCUCCAAAGGACAGUUCUCUGGUGCAACAUAGAAAAAGAGUUGGGAAAAAUUCUACAUCUGUCUUCAACUCCCCAAAUUCAUAUGGAAAACAAGACUGCAUAACCAGAAUGGCAAAAGGGCCUUACCAAAGACAUUUCGCUCACUUCUAGGAACCAAAGUUGUUUCAACAUAUGUCUCCAUGUAAGAUUGAGCAACAACUUCUACCUUAACUUCAUUCAACAAUAGAUGAAUCCAUCACUCUGUUGAUAUUUCUUACGCCUCCUACUCCCACAUGUUCUUUUCAACUCUUUAGUUCUUCUCUUGCAAUUUUUGUGUCGUUCAUGUAACUGCCCCUACAUGAGUUAGAAAGCUAGGUUCUGUCCAACAAGUGAAAACAACGAGAAACGAUGUAACAUGAUAUCUACUAUGGUAAAGUUAGAGUGUUUUAUAUAAGGAAAAGGUAUUAUUAAUGGAAGUAAAUAUG